GUUUGUGCUGUAUUUAGACCCUUCUACAACGAAAUUUGUUUUACAUGCACACGUAUAAAAAUUGCGGUUUUUAUCCAACGCAAUCAUAGGUUUGAACGUUGUUUUCAAUUAAGACUUGUUUAUAUUUAUUUCGUUUGGGCUUGUAUUCUAUUUUCCCUCCGGUUUAUAUAAUCCGUUCAUCCUAUUUCGACUCUUUUAAAUUCAAGAGUCCAUCCUAAAUUGAGUUAAAUUAUAUGGCCUUCAAAAUACUGUUUCGUUCCCUAAUAUCACUGAAGAGACAUUAAUUGUCGAAAUCCGGAUAUGGUGUAAAAUAAAUAAAUAAAAAAAAAAUAGCACCUCAUGUUUGUGGUUUACCAUCUUUGCCGCAAGUUUAUUGUUUUCUGUUUGUUAUUUAAUAAUUAUAAGAUCCAUUUUGUUACAUCGUGUGAUCAAUUUAUUUGGCAAUCGCCAAUGGCAGUUAGCAGGGUUUAAGAACAUCAGUUGUUCGACCUGUAAGUCAAAUGCGUUUUGUUAAAAUAUACUUUUUCACUGUUUUUG
This 537-nucleotide long non-coding RNA is filed under the name Mytilus galloprovincialis (Mediterranean mussel). Lineage: Eukaryota; Metazoa; Mollusca; Bivalvia; Mytilida; Mytilidae. The record is from RNAcentral.